Molecule: ribosomal RNA, 492 nt
Filed under: uncultured bacterium
Lineage: Bacteria
Description: partial 16S ribosomal RNA
Rfam family: Bacterial small subunit ribosomal RNA
Source: RNAcentral
AGUGAACGCUGGCGGUAGGCCUAACACAUGCAAGUCGAACGGCAGCACAGUAAGAGCUUGCUCUUACGGGUGGCGAGUGGCGGACGGGUGAGGAAUACAUCGGAAUCUACUUUUUCGUGGGGGAUAACGUAGGGAAACUUACGCUAAUACCGCAUACGACCUACGGGUGAAAGCAGGGGAUCUUCGGACCUUGCGCGAUUGAAUGAGCCGAUGUCGGAUUAGCUAGUUGGCGGGGUAAAGGCCCACCAAGGCGACGAUCCGUAGCUGGUCUGAGAGGAUGAUCAGCCACACUGGAACUGAGACACGGUCCAGACUCCUACGGGAGGCGGCAGUGGGGAAUAUUGGACAAUGGGCGCAAGCCUGAUCCAGCCAUACCGCGUGGGUGAAGAAGGCCUUCGGGUUGUAAAGCUCUUUUGUUGGGAAAGAAAAGCAGCAGGUUAAUACCCCGCUGUUCUGACGGUACCCAAAGAAUAAGCACCGGCUAACUUCGUG